AGUUAAUUUUUUUAUCCAUGUUAUGUGUUAAAAACAGGUGUAGCUGAUGAAAUAACCAACAGUUACACAUGGUGUGCCACGUGCACCUCUUGUUGACGAACAGGGACCAGUUUUUAACAGUAAAAAUUGAUGAAAUUUUAAUA
Gossypium hirsutum (cotton) is the source of this 143-nucleotide non-coding RNA. NCBI's taxonomy places the organism in Eukaryota, Viridiplantae, Streptophyta, Magnoliopsida, Malvales, Malvaceae. The record is from Rfam.